RNAcentral lists this ribosomal RNA (400 nucleotides) under uncultured bacterium. RNAcentral's name for it is "bacterial SSU rRNA". It matches the Rfam family "Bacterial small subunit ribosomal RNA", at positions 356 to 773 of the family's 1533-position model. The record is from RNAcentral.
GGGGAAUAUUGGACAAUGGGGGCAACCCUGAUCCAGCCAUGCCGCGUGAGUGAUGAAGGCCUUAGGGUUGUAAAGCUCUUUUAUCCGGGACGAUAAUGACGGUACCGGAAGAAUAAGCCCCGGCUAACUUCGUGCCAGCAGCCGCGGUAAUACGAAGGGGGCUAGCGUUGCUCGGAAUUACUGGGCGUAAAGGGCGCGUAGGCGGACAUUUAAGUCAGGGGUGAAAUCCCAGAGCUCAACUCUGGAAUUGCCUUUGAUACUGGGUGUCUAGAGACCGGAAGAGGUAAGUGGAACUGCGAGUGUAGAGGUGAAAUUCGUAGAUAUUCGCAAGAACACCAGUGGCGAAGGCGGCUUACUGGUCCGGUUCUGACGCUGAGGCGCGAAAGCGUGGGGAGCAAAC